This is a small nuclear RNA of Ochotona princeps (American pika), 104 nucleotides long. The record is from Ensembl. Lineage: Eukaryota; Metazoa; Chordata; Mammalia; Lagomorpha; Ochotonidae.
GUGCUUGCUUCAGCAGCACAUAAAGUAAAAUUGGAAUGAUAUAGAGAUUAACCUGGCCCCUGUGCAAGGAUGAUAAACAAAUUUGUGAUACAUUCCAUAUUUGA